Molecule: ribosomal RNA, 193 nt
Filed under: uncultured Eubacteriales bacterium
Lineage: Bacteria; Bacillati; Bacillota; Clostridia; Eubacteriales
Description: uncultured Clostridiales bacterium partial 16S ribosomal RNA
Rfam family: Bacterial small subunit ribosomal RNA
Source: RNAcentral
GGGUAGCCUCGGGAAACCGGGAUUAAUACCAAAUAAAAUCAUAAUGACACAUGUCAUAACGAUCAAAACUCCGGUGGUCUAAGAUGGACUCGCGUCCCAUUAGCUAGUUGGUAGAGUAAAAGCCUACCAAGGCGACGAUGGGUAGCCGGCCUGAGAGGGUGAACGGCCACAUUGGAACUGAGAAACGGUCCAA